CCACCAAUAGGCUCCUUUGCCUCUGGCUUCCAGGUGGGUGUACCCCAGGGGAGCCCCGGCAGGAGAUCAGAGGGAAGACAUGGGUUAUAGGCACUUAGUUCCCUGGCUCCGUUCCUGGCGUGGGCAUCUAAGGCUGGCCUCAUGCCUUAACGGAUGAUUACAACUGCUAUCUGGCAGCUCUCUGUCCCCAGGUCCUUUGAGGCCUACGAGUGAUAAUGGAGUCCCCAUAGUUUUCCCAGCCAUAUCUCUAGUGGUUCCCUGUAUGCUAUCCACACUUAUAUAAAUAGUCCUUUAUUCAAUUCUUCUCAAAUUACCCAAUUUGAGCGUGCCAUCUGUUCUUCACUAGGACCCUGACUGAUACACAGAAUGAUGAUCAUAUAAACAACGAAUGUUGUUAACCAAGCUCUCAUAUUAUCUCAGGAGCUGAGGAAGGGAAAUAUAUGUGUAUUUGCAGCAGGUGUACAGAGAGAGUUAAAUUCUCAUUUUCCCCGAGAAAUAAAUAGACGAUAUCUAAUAACAAAGAAAAACAUUAAGAAAAAGCAUUAUAGAAAGGUGGACGGAAAUCUCAGAAGAAACAGCAAAAAGAAUUGAGGAUACCAAGAUCUUUCUUAAUUGCUCCUUGGAUAGCUGAGGAAUACCUUCGCAAACUAUUUCUUUUUAGACUGUGAUUCUAGACUCGUUAGUGGGUUUGGAAAUCAGUUCAAGGGGUAUCAGUCAAUUCUCUGUGUAUGUGUUGGGGUUAUUGGAGAGUGAACCCGGAGGUGCUCUACCACUGAGAAACAUCCCCAGCCCCCCUUUUUAAAAAUUUUACUUUGACCACCAUGCGUGAAGGUUCACACCUGUAAUCCCAGCAGCUCAGGAGGCUGAGGCAGGAGGAUCAUAGGCUCAAAGCCAAUUUAGCAAGGCUCUAAGCGAUUUAGCAAGACCCUGUCUCAAAAUAAAAAAAUAAAAAAGGUGGGGGUGAUGUAGCUCAGUAGUGAAGCGCCUCUGGGUUCAAUCCCUGGUCCAAAAAAUAAUUUUACUUUGAGAUAGGAUCUCCCUAAAUUGCUGAGGCUGGCUUCCAACUUGAGAUCCUCCUGCCUCAGCCUCCCUAAUUGCUGGGAUCACAGGCAUGCACCACUGGACCUGGCAGUCAAAUCUUUAAUUAAUCAGAACAGAAUAGAAAUUAAAAACAGGCAUCCCCAAUAAGGAGAAGAAAUGUGGUUUUGUUAAGCUUCUGUUCAGUUUUAUAUUUGUUCCUGUGGAUGUAAUGUGAAAUGUGUUUCUUAUUGUGGAUUACUCUCAAAAGAGCUUGAAAGUCACGAUUCUAAAAGAAUGGUGGCUGAACACAGGACCGAGAACAAAACAGUCUACUCAAAUGAGGUUAAAGGGUUAUGUUAUUCUCUGAGGAUGCAGUUAAAUUUCAAAUGACUGACAGGAAUAAUAAUUCUCCGCACUGAUGCGAGGGCCAGCCAGGUUAAUAGUUCCACACGCAGUUCUUAUUAUAACCACCCUGUGCAUUAUGAUGUUCUUGGCUCAGCAGCUAAUAAUAAAAUAAAUCCAGAGCAUCUCUGUUGAAAUGAUAAAUUGCUUUAGCAUGAAAGCCCUACAUACAAAGAAAUAUAAUUGUUCAGGAUGAGGCUAGCAGACAUUACAAUAAGACUAGCAAGCAAGAACAGAAAUCACACUCAACACAGAGGGAAAUGGGAGGGAAAACCUGACCCAUUUGCAAUUCACUGCUACUUAAACCACCAGCUAGGUGACUCAGGGUGCAAGUGAACAGAAUUCCUAGAAUCUAAAAAACAAAAACAAAAGCAUCGCCUAGGAAUCGACCUCAGCUCUCUUUGCAUUAAGAGAGCUGGAAAAUAAGGUUUCAGACUCACAAAAUCUAUUGGAAAGUGGAUUUUGUGAUCAAACUAGGAAGCAGUGAGUUGAGAUGCAAUUUUUACAGUACCGUAUUUAUUGUACAUAGUCGUAACUCAAAUUGUGACAUUCAAUGUAUAUUUAUUGUAUCAUUUACGUGAUUGUAUGAAAUAAUUGAGAGAAAAUGAGGAACUACAGUUUCUUUUCCAACUUGUGUAAAGUCAAUAAGAGGAGGCACCCUAAGACCAAUAAUUCCCAUGCACCAGAAUGUCCAAUCGUUUGACUUCUUCCAAUCUCUGAAAUCUAAUGGCAAAUGUAAAGUUUAUUUUUGGUUUUUGUGGGUUUGUUUUGGUAAUAGGAAUUGGAUCCAGGGGCACUCAACCACUGAGCCACAUCCCCAGCCCUAUUUUGUAUUUUAUUUAGAGACAGGGUCUCACCGAGUUGCUUAGAGCCUCACUAAAUUGUGGAGGCUGACUUUGAACUCGCGAUCCUCCUGCCUUAGCCUCCCAAGCCAGUUGUCAAUGGAUCAUCAAUAGAAAGUCAGUGCUUAUGCCAGUAUUUGAUCUGGCAGUGCAUUCUGGUCUGUGUGACAGUGGGAAAGUAAAAGAGAGCCGGGUGCGGUGGCACACGCCUGUAAUCCCAGCUAAUGAACUGGAAAUGAUGCAAUGAAGGCCCCCUCUCCACCGCCCUGCUCUCAUGCCAAUGAAGAUUCCUGCAGUUCACCUCUGAGCCAGGCAUCAUGGAGAGCCAAAGGAAGGAGGGGAUGGGGUUCAACUGUGGUCUUCAAUCCCAUUAGGUAUUCAGGAAGCAGCUGCAGCACGAUAUCCACCUGAGAACAUCUAAUAAACAGAUAAGUUGUAUGGGUUAAAAAUAAGUUUAGCCAAAGGGAUCGGUAUCCCUGAUACCAUUCUAUGUUGUGCAGAAGUUAGCCACCAUUUUCUGCAAUGCACUUGGCUGGCAAGUGACCCUAAGGGCCAAUAUGUACUUUUAUUUGUAUAUUUUUGGUACCAGGGAUUGAACCCAGCAGAGCUUAACCACUGAGCCAUAUCCCCAACCAAUUUUUUUAAAUUUAUUAUUUUGAGACAGGGUCUCACUACAUUGCUUAGGGCCUUGCUAAAUUGUUGAGGCUGGCCUCCAACUUUCGAUCCUCCUGCUUCAGCCUCCAGAUCCACUGGGAUUACAGGCAUGCACUACCAUGCCUGGCCCCAAAUGCACUUUUGAGCCCACUGCUGAAACCCACUAACCUUACGAGCCUCUUGGCUCUGGUUCUAAAACUCCCCAAUGCCUAUGAAUUGGCACUUGACCCCUGAUAAGCUCCAGAAGGCUGGCCUCCAAGAAGUAGGAUCAGGAUAACCAUGUCCCAUUGACUGCCCACCAAGGCUGGCUUCUGCCUGAAACCAUCAUGCAGUGAGACAGUCAUGCAGAACCACACAGCAAGUAUGUCAGUCAGGUUUUUGGUUACAAGGCCCAUUCUGCCUGAUUAUAUCAAAAGGAGCAUCCUAAGAGAGUAGGGGAGCUCACAAAAUCUAUGUGAAGAUGAGGGAAUCAGGCUUGUAAGCCUGGAUUACGCUAUCAGACUGCUCUGAUGAGACCUCACUUCUGGGAUAUGAUGGAUGUAUUAAUCAGCUUGAUUGUAGAGAUCAUGUCACAAUGAUACAUAUACCAAAACAUCACAUUGUACACCCUGAGUAAAUAUAAUUUUUGCUUGUUAAUUAUAUCUCAAUAAAACAGGAAGGAGAAACAGAAUUCAUAAAAUUAAUAUAAAAGAUGCUUUAAGAACAUUUCAGUACCCAGUUUUCACUUUUUUUUUUUUUUUUUUUUUGUACUGAGGAUUGAACUCAGGGGUAGUUAACCACUAAGCCACAACCCCAGCUUCCCUCCCCCAUUUUUUUAAAUUUUAUUUUGAGACAGGUUCUCACUAAGUUGCUGAGGCUGGCUUUGAACUCAUGAUCCUCCUGCCUCAGCCUCCCAAGGUGCUGAGAUUACAGGUGAGCACCACCAUGCCCAGCCAGUUUUCCCUUUUUAAUCAUGGAUACCACAUGGCUUUCUUGGGUUUCUGUUAGUAAAAUGAAGAAUCCUGCUACGAAUGACCUUUUUCUGUUUUUUUUUUUUUUUUUGCUUUAAUGCAAACAUAGGACUAAAUUAAGAAUGCUCAUUUUUUUGCUCAUUUUCCAUUGUAAUACAUGGUUUUAGUUCAAAAAAGAAAGAAAGAAUCCUUAAAAAGUACAGAUACAAACCUCGAUUUGGCCUCUCAUAUUUGGCAGUUUCUUUAGACAACUGCUUUCUUCUGGCUCAGCAGUGCUUAACUGCAAACUAGCAUCAAGAGCUUCUAUCAGGAUGCUGGGUUUGAAUCCUGCUUGGCCAAGCUAUUUCUUUGACCUGGGCAAGUUCUUUAGCUCUCUGUGCUUCUGUUUUCUCAUCUAAAAUGGAAAUAAUAAUGAUACUUAUUUCAUAGAGUUGGUAUAAGGCUAAAAUGAGAUAAUGUGUGUAAAGACUGUCUGGAGGACAAUAGGCACUUAUAUUUGUCAGUUUUCAUUGCUGUAAUGAAAUACCCGAGGCAGGCAACUUACGAAGAAAAACAGGUUUAUUUUGCUCACAGUUUGGGAGGUUCAAGAGCAUGUACUGGCAUUGGCUCAGCUCUGGUGAGGGCCCAAUUGGCUGCAUCACAUCAUGGAGGAUAGCACUGGCAGGAGUGCAUUUAGCUGCCAGUGAUUAUAUGGCCAAACAGGAGGACAGAGGCCGGGUGGGGUCAGGCUCAAACUUGUAAAACAAUCCUUUCACAAGAAUUGACCAUGGUCCCAUGAGAACUCUCUUGUCCCUUUUGAAGGCACACCCCUGAUUGACAUAGAAAUUUCCACUAGGCCCCACCUCUUAAAGACUCCAUUAGCUCCACAUUGCCACAGUGGGUAUCAAGCUCCCAACAUAUGAAACUUUGAGAGGGACAAAGAGCAUUCAAAACAUAGUAGCCCUAUUGUUGCUUUUGUAAUCAUUGUUAUUAUACUUUCCGUGAUAUUUUUUAUCUAAUCCUUUUUAUGCAAAUAUGUUAUGUGAGAGCCAGGGCAUCUUAAAGGGAGCUUUCAUAUUUAAAUAUGAAAUGAAUUUAUUGGUGACUAGUUUCAAAGGCAGAAAUCUAAAUGCUAAAGUUUGUUGCAUUGACAGAAAGGAAAAUAAAAGCCCAAAGUUAUAGCAUCAAGGAGACCUCAAGGGCUGGGGAUAUAGCUCAAUGGUAGAGCGCUUGCCUAGCAUGCACAAUGAUACUCAAUCUCACACACACACGUGCACACACAUGCACACACACAUGCACACACACACACACAAAGAAGGCCUUAAAUUAAGUGAUAUUGCUGGCAUUUGUAUGUCAUAACAAUGAUUCAAAUACUAAGGCAAGAAUGAUUCUUCAUAUAAAAGGCUUUUACAGACCUCAAGAUGUAGAAUCUAUCUUCCAGGCUUAAAAUAGCUUCUUUCAUAAUUUUUAAAACAUAUGCGCUUUCAUGCGAGACAGCAGAGGGCAGCUUUAUUGGCACCAUUUAUCCGUUGAGCUGUAAGUCAUGGCAGGUAUCUUGGAUUGCACAUUUCCCCUUAUCAGGGGGAGUCGACAGGCAAAUAGACCAGUCAUGUUUCUGUUUAUAUUCUCAAGAGCACUUAUUUGUUUAAUAAAGCUCACUGGUAAUUGCCAACCAGGUUUCCUUAUACAAAAUACAAGACUUAAUGAAAUUUUAUCAUAAUUGUGAGUCACAAAAGCCCUUUUAAGCAAAUUAAUGGCCACUGAUGGAAAUAAACAAGGAGCGCCAACGAAAUUUCAAUUAGUCAUUUCACUAAGAGUCCUUCCAUCUUAACACUCAGAACUUUAUUCUGCCCUGUUGUCACCGUUUUUAUAAUUCAAUACAAGGUCUUUUAUUUGACAUUAGUUUUGUUGAUCGGUGACAUAUUGUGACCCAAGUUUAAAACUGCAACAUAGCACAAGUUUCAUCAAAUUUUGAUUAGCAUACUCCACAUGACACAGAAAAUAUAUUGCUACAAUCUCAACUCUCCAGCGCUUAGAAAAGUAGCUUGGUAAAUUGAGAGGGUAUAUGUGGAGAGAAUACUUAAAAUAUAUUUAUGUCUUCAUUAUGUUCUCUUAAAAUAUGAUAUAUAAAAUCUAAUUUUUUUUUUUGGUACCAGGGAUUGAACCCAGGGGUACUCAACCACUGAGCCACAUCCCCAGCCUACCUCCCUCCUGCCUUGUCCCCAUAAGGGGAAUUGAAGAGUUGCUUAGGGCCUCACUAAUUUGCUGAUGCUGGCUUUGAACUUGCGAUCCUCCUGCCUCAGCCUCCUGAGUUGCUGGGAUUAUAGGCGUGUGCCACUGCACCCAAUUUAAAAUCUAAUUUUCUAGUGAGCGCAGGUUUGCAAAUGGAAAGAGAUAGGAUCCUUUUAAAAUCCAGCCAAGUGAGGACUAUAUGCCUGUAGACCCAGCUAUCGGCAAGGCAAGGCUGAGGCAGGAGGAUCACUUGAGCCUAGGAGUUUGAGGUCAGCCCCAAACAGAGAGAGAUCCCCAUAUCCAAAUAAAUAAAUAAAUGAAAUCAUUAACAGAUAUGUUAAGGUUUAGUACAGGGAAUUCAGAAAAGCAAAGUUGAGCUUUUUAAAGCUAAUAUUUUUUGGUCGACAUUUGGAAGGAUUUUUCUCUAAGAUAAAAGGGGAAAAAAGACUUUGAUGCCUGGUAAAGGUAAGAAAUCUGAGUGGUGAGUUUUGCCUCUGUUCAAAAAUAAACUGCGAUUCAAAUGCACAUUUUUGUCAAACCUGGAGAGCUGGUAAUUAAUAACCACGGCAUCUCGGUGAUUCUUUUCUCAUUUACACUUAGAUAUUUAUAUUCUUUUCAUUGUUCUUGGAUUUUCCGUGGUCUUAGUUUGGAUUCCUUCAGAAGCUGAAGGUGAGACAAGGGUUGAAGCGCAAGUAGUUUGUUUGGGAGGUGGAAAUAAGUGUCCAUAGGGGGCUGAGGCUGGGGCUGGGGCUCAGUGGUAGAGUGCUUACCUGGCAUGUGUGAGGCACUGAGUUCGAUUCUCAGCACCACAUAGAAAUAAAUAAAAUAAAGGUCCAUUGACAAUUUAAAAAAUAUAUAUUUAAAAACAAAGUGUCAAUAGGGAAGCCAGGAAGUAAAUUCUAGAAGGGAAGCCACUAUAAGUGGGUUAUCCAGCAAGAUACAACUGCGGACCCAGGCUGCCUAAUCUCACUGGGGAACUCUGGGAGGGAGGUGGUGCAGAAGGGAGCCCCUGAGUCAUCUCACAGUAGGAGAGAGGGAGCUGGGGCAUGGAUAGCUAGGGAGCCAGGCAGCUGGGGUAUUGAUUUGCUAAAUAGCCAGGCCCCAAGCAACUCAGUGGGACCCUGUCUCAAAAAGAUGUAGUAUAUAUAAACCAUCCUUUCUUAUUGUUCAAGGACUUGUCUUUCUCUGCCUGCACCUUAGAUACUGGUGUUUCUCUUUACUUCUUACAGUACAACCUCUUGCAGGGCCGUGUCUUAUUAUCUCAUCCAAUGGCGUCUUUGUUCUGGAAUCUUCAUAUCCGGAUCAGACCACCGCUCUGUUCUGGAUGCCGCUGCCUGCCGGGGAGCAUGGCUGCGGGGUCACACAGCUCUUCCAACUCACCCUGCCCUCCCAGAACUCCUGCUAAAGGAACCCUCUUCCACUUCCAUUGGUGAUUCUGUAACCAAGGUUCACUUGAUGCUUUGACUAUAUCCCCUGUAGCUAUGAAACGUACAUUUUUUUUUCUUUUCUCCAGCCUUCUUCUCCUGAUCUUCUGCUACCUGCUCUUUUCCCUAACUUUUCCCCUAAUCUUCACUGAUCUUCUUUUCCCUAAACUUCUCCCUGAUCUUUUCCCUGAUGUCUCCUUCCUGAUCUCAUUUUCUCCUCCCUAAUCUCAUUUUCUCUGAAUCACCUCUAGAAUCACAGCCUUUGGGACUUGAUGUGUUUCUCCUUUGCUAGCAAAGCAAUAAACCCUC
RNAcentral lists this transfer RNA (7812 nucleotides) under Marmota monax (woodchuck). The stretch from base 6820 to 6888 matches the Rfam family "tRNA". Lineage: Eukaryota; Metazoa; Chordata; Mammalia; Rodentia; Sciuridae. The record is from RNAcentral.